UCGGAUUUUGCUUCCCGAAUGGGGGCGCGGUAACGCAGUCGUACUAGCAAAAUCGGAAAGAUCCCUGGUCAUUCAGGAAUACACUACUCUCUGUAUUAGUUCAUCUUUACCUCGGAAUGAAUUGACUCGCUUUUGUAACAGCUGUUUUUUUUGUUUGUUUUUUUUCCAGGCAAAUUUUAAUCUGUUUAGUUUGCCCAGUUCGAGUGAACGUGCGAGCUGUAGGAUUACUGGCCGCUGUCUUGACUGCUGAUGAAGCCUUUGGACUAAAUUUCGGAAAUAUACAGGUUGGAAGCUGAGAGGUUAUUUUUAUUAUAAGAUUACUGAUCACCUUGAGAACUAUGAUGAUGCUUCCCAGGGCUAUUACUGUAACUCUGCAUUGGUGACUGUGGGAAACAGGUUUGAUCAAGAUGUCAUUAACAGCCUGAUACAGAAUGUCACAAAUGGUGACAGGCUUUACUUUUGGAUGGCUCUUUAGGACAGAACAGGAGAGUACAGAAACAGAACAGGAGAGUACCGCUGGCAAACACAGAAAGGAUCCUUUCAGCUUGUUCACUAUACAAAUUGGAACAAAUAUCAGCCAGUAUUUACAGGCAGAUGGUCUGAGGGCAAAUGCAAUGGUCGUCAUCCUUACAUCUGUGAGCGUAAAACAGUUUCUGUUGUUGCAAUUCCAAGAGAACCUCACCUCAAAGGAGGCUGUCCAGAACGAUGGCUCUAUUUUGGACACAAGCAGGAUGGAAUUAACUGUCAAUGGUCAGAUGGCAGUGAUGCCUUUUUUACUCACUGGGUUGAUGCCGAUGGAAUACAUGUACUUGGUGAUUGUGUAGAUGGACAUGAAUGGUAACUGGAAAAGCACUGACUGUGAAACACCACUCCAAGGGGCUGUGUGCCAUGUGUCUCGUGAAAGGAAACCAAUUUCGUACAAAAUGGAAUGUCCAAAAACAUGGUUAAAGUUUCAAAGCAGUUGCUACAGUUUCCAGCCUGUUAUAAGGAGGCUGGAUUUGGAAGAAUCGCGUGAAUAUUGCAAACUGAAAACAAACAUGUAUUGACGACUGAAGAGGAAGAAUAGCACAGAUUUGUUUUAGAGGAACUACAAUCCUUUGGACCUUCCCGUCAGACUAUUUGGCUUGGCAUCAUAUUUAGCACUGACAGUAAGCACAAAUAUCUAUAGGUGUGUGUACCAUAGAUUGCAAAGCAAUACUGAAUGCUUAAAAUAAAUAAAUAAAUCUCAUCUAUAAUGGACUUGUUGCGGAACUGAACAGCGUUUUUGGCAGAAAUCGCCCAACCUCAUUAAUUAUGAAUACACAGAACUGUGUAGUCCCUUCCUGAGGCAGUUUGACUCUGAGUAUUAGUAAUUCACUUACAAACAGGAUUCAGGAUUACAGAAAUGUUUUGUUCAAUUAAGCAGCAUAUAGUAGAUUCAGUACAUGAAUAAGCAUACUAAAAAGAAGCCAGUUUGUAGGUAGAGGAAAGCAUACCUCUGGAACAGUCUAUUAACAUACAGUGCUGUGUUAUUGCAAAUAAAUCCCAGCAAAAUAAAGUGUAGUAAUGAACUGUCCUACACUGCUUUUAAAACAAUAAAAAAAAAAAACAUUAAGAUCAUAUACAUUACAUACAAUAAAGAAAACUUGUUCUUGCCAUAGGGUCAGGUUAGCCUCUACACAGCAGCCACCAUCUUUUACCUUAGACAUGUCCUUUGACCUCUCUCACUGAAUUAACAACAUAUGUGAACAUAUAUAAUUUUUUUUACCUAUGUAUUAUAAAGCUUUUGUAUCUACAUUGUUCAAAUAUAUUUAAAUCAAAAUGCAACACAAUUGCAAACAAAAUAAACAAUUACGAAAAAGGGGGGUGUCAAUUUGUAACUGAAACUUUUUGCAAAAUUCAAUUUUUGCUUUCUCUAGCACAGUAUGUUGCCUUUUACACAGACUCAUUUAAAUAGCUCCACUAACUUUAUGCACAACAAUUAGGAAGUCACUAAAUAUUGCUGGGUUCUGUUGAAGAUUCAUGUGUUUUUUUUUUGUUUUUUUUUUAAACCUUUCUAAUUUUCUUCUAUCCUAGAGGACACAUUGGAGUGGUUUGACAGCUCACCUAUUAAGUAUUUGAACUGGUUUCUCAAAGCACCACAUAUGGAUCCUCUUACUAUUGAUAGCUGCGUUUCAAUGAGGUCUUCAGAUGGCAGCUGGCAUUUGUCUCACUGUGAUAAAAAGCUAGGAUUAAUUUGUAAAAUUGUAUGGAGGUAGGCUUUACCUGUGACUGAAACAUACAUUAUGUUUAUAACUUUGUUACUGGUAUGUUUAUAAUGAGACAGCAGCUGUUUGUCUUUUGCUGUUGUAGGUAUCAGAAGAGAAACUAGCUGCUGAUAUUUUGCUAGUAGAGCUGUCAGAUUAGUAAAAACUGCUGGUUCAGUAUGUUCCCAUAGUGCUGUUUUUGCCAGAGUUCAGCACUAAACAGAAAGCAUGGCAAUGGAAAUAUACAGGCCAUUUAUUUCACUCUGCUGAAUCAUGAAUAGGUAAUAGACUCAAAGCAUUUUACUCAAAUUCAAAAACUGGUUUACAUAUAAAAUUAUAUUUUUUGUUUUGUCAGACGUAAGUAGCGAUGUAGAGGUGGAACCCAUCUGAGGUGUACUACAGACUAACAAGUUUGGAGGCUGCGGAUUCAGAAGGAAAUAUUCUUAUUACAUAUCUUGAUGUGAAUACUGUAUUUUAAAAUCUCCUUGAGCAGUAAUGAAAUUGCGAUCUGUUAAGCGAACUGUGUCACAGCAGAUAGCAGGAUCAAGCAGGGCAGUGUGGUUGCAUGUUGCAUUUGAGGAGCCAAUCAUCAAAAAGCAUAGAUCCUGAUCUGCACAAUCCUGGAAGAACAGCUGAGAACCAAAGAAACAGAAAUGCAGGACUAGGCCGCCAGAGCAGCCAUUCUCAAUUUGAUGACAGGACAAGCAGAAGUUCAGAAUUGUUAUACAAAUGUAAGCAAGAGGUUUGUUAAUUUUUUUAUAUAAAGUGGUGCUGCAUCAAUGAAGUAUUGUUAGCACUGUAACUUUAGCAAGCUAUAGAUUAUGUUCCCCAUGGUUUAACCCUUAAGAAUGGACACAAUAUACACAAACCCUGUGUGACGGAGAGCGAAUGAAUCCGAAUCAAAAAUCUCCCUCUC
This is a long non-coding RNA of Polyodon spathula (Mississippi paddlefish), 3141 nucleotides long. RefSeq lists it as uncharacterized. The record is from RefSeq and is a predicted model, not a curated record. Lineage: Eukaryota; Metazoa; Chordata; Actinopteri; Acipenseriformes; Polyodontidae. The transcript is spliced from 9 exons.